CUGUUGUAUUUGUUAUUUUGAAUCAAACCAGGUAGCUAAAAAGUAAGAUUUGACCUUUGCUCCCGCUCUGUUAGCAUCCACGGUUCCAGCCUGUUGUUUGUGAGCACUACCUGAAAUUCAUCAUUGCCGAGCCAGCUGCUGUUUGCUUUGGCUCUUGUUUGCCCUUUUCCUGUUACACCUGCAGUGGAGGUUUUAUGGCCUUCCCCUUUCCCCUGUGGCUGGAGAGUCAGGCAGGGAGAAAAACUCUCUCAGCAUAUGACUUGGAUGUAGGCAGACAUCCACCGUAACAUGCAGUGGGCUGAAAACAACCCUUUUUAGCAGGUUUUUUGUUCGAGCCAUUCUGAAGGGGCGAAUGGUGCUCUGAGCAUCAUCUUCUGCUCGAUGGCAGUCUAUGAAUGAGCCCUGGAGACCCCACGUUCCAGUUGGGAGCAGUACCAUCAUGCAUCCAUGCCUACUUUAAGCAGAGAUGUGAUAGGGAUCUUAGGUGCCUGCAUUUUGUUUCCACCAUUUCACAGCCUCAGUAAAUGUCUGCCUGUGGCUGAGCCGACAGCCUCACACUGUAACUAUUCUGUGAAAAUUCAGAAACCAUCACACGUACGUUUAUUACAGCCGUGAAGGAUGGGGAAUGGGGGACACCCAGCGCUGCAGCUCCCAUGCCUUGAACAAAAUGGUUAUCAUCUUGAUUAAGGAAUCAAUCUCCUGAAGAGCUGGGCUCCUGCCUCCAAAGCGUGCAUUUCCUAGAAUGUGUCAAGCCAGUACUUCUCUCAAGCGGACACAUAGUUAAUAUCUGCAUAGCUUGAUGCACUAAUGUAGCCUUUCACAAAUGCGUGAAACGGUCAAGAAAAAGAAGUGGGAAAGAAGCAACCGUAAAGCCUCUAUUUUGCGUUGUGUUGUACAAACCCUGCUGACUUCUGCCCUGACAAACUCUCAUGCAGUUGCCUGUUUCCUUUGCAAGUCACAGACAGUCCUGGCCCGGCCCACUCUUACCUGCUGGCUGAGGUUUCCAUUUCCAGGGCACGUACCCAGCAAGGGAUUUCUAUCUACUACAUCUUUCCUCGUGAAGCCAGGGCAAGGAUGGUCAUGGAGUGCUGCAAGCUACCUUCAUGAAGAUCUCUGAGAGCCUGAGUUGACAUGACCAGACCUACUUCAGCUCUGCGAAAUUUUAAAAUCAGCCCUGCAGAAAAACACACGGGCACACAGUUAAAUUCUUUUGAUUUUAAACGAGGACGUCUCCAAUGCAAUCAAUGUGAUUACACUUAACUAAGACUCUGCAGGAGCAAGACAGGUAGGAUUCUUCAGGACUUGCAACAGAGGCUCAUUUUCAGCAUUGUGCAGCUCCACUAACCUCAAGGGGAUGGCAGAGAGCUGGCCUGGAGGAAGCUGUGGGUUGUCCAUCGAGCCAGCACCGAUGUGCUUCAGGCUGCAUCUGCACAGGACCAAAUCGCCCAGCUCCCAUCGUCAGUGCUACAAGGAACAGAGCCGGGCUUUUGGAGCAGAUGCUCCCUCUACACAAAUUAGCCUUCACACCCAACAUAAAUGUCAUGCCUAGUGUGCUGCUGUUGCCAGCCUGGUAUUCAGCUUUGAGCUUUAUUCCCAGAGGGGUGAAUGGCUCAGGCUUUAAUUUGCCAACUGGGGAAAGCUCACGCAGUUAGGAGCACCAGAAUAACACACACAAAGGUCAAAGAGGACAAUUCUGCACUGCCUGCUUCCCAACAUCGCUCGCAUUGAUUUUUU
Anser brachyrhynchus (Pink-footed goose) is the source of this 1734-nucleotide long non-coding RNA. NCBI's taxonomy places the organism in Eukaryota, Metazoa, Chordata, Aves, Anseriformes, Anatidae. The record is from Ensembl.